RNAcentral lists this ribosomal RNA (495 nucleotides) under uncultured bacterium. Its description in RNAcentral is "partial 16S ribosomal RNA". It matches the Rfam family "Bacterial small subunit ribosomal RNA", at positions 28 to 507 of the family's 1533-position model. The record is from RNAcentral.
GACGAACGCUGGCGGCGUGCCUAAUACAUGCAAGUAGAACGCUGAAGGAGGAGCUUGCUUCUCUGGAUGAGUUGCGAACGGGUGAGUAACGCGUAGGUAACCUGCCUGGUAGCGGGGGAUAACUAUUGGAAACGAUAGCUAAUACCGCAUAAGAGUAGAUGUUGCAUGACAUUUGCUUAAAAGGUGCAAUUGCAUCACUACCAGAUGGACCUGCGUUGUAUUAGCUAGUUGGUGGGGUAACGGCUCACCAAGGCGACGAUACAUAGCCGACCUGAGAGGGUGAUCGGCCACACUGGGACUGAGACACGGCCCAGACUCCUACGAGAGGCAGCAGUAGGGAAUCGUCGGCAAUGGACGGAAGUCUGAACGAGCAACGCCGCGAGAGUGAAGAAGGUUUUCGGAUCGUAAAGCUCGGUUGUAAGAGAAGAACGAGUGUGAGAGUGGAAAGUUCACACUGUGACGGUAUCUUACCAGAAAGGGACGGCUAACUACGUG